RNAcentral lists this ribosomal RNA (757 nucleotides) under Microbacterium sp. ST2-3. RNAcentral's name for it is "bacterial SSU rRNA". It matches the Rfam family "Bacterial small subunit ribosomal RNA", at positions 645 to 1399 of the family's 1533-position model. Lineage: Bacteria; Bacillati; Actinomycetota; Actinomycetes; Micrococcales; Microbacteriaceae. The record is from RNAcentral.
AGUGCGGUAGGGGAGAUUGGAAUUCCUGGUGUAGCGGUGGAAUGCGCAGAUAUCAGGAGGAACACCGAUGGCGAAGGCAGAUCUCUGGGCCGUAACUGACGCUGAGGAGCGAAAGGGUGGGGAGCAAACAGGCUUAGAUACCCUGGUAGUCCACCCCGUAAACGUUGGGAACUAGUUGUGGGGUCCUUUCCACGGAUUCCGUGACGCAGCUAACGCAUUAAGUUCCCCGCCUGGGGAGUACGGCCGCAAGGCUAAAACUCAAAGGAAUUGACGGGGACCCGCACAAGCGGCGGAGCAUGCGGAUUAAUUCGAUGCAACGCGAAGAACCUUACCAAGGCUUGACAUACACGAGAACGGGCCAGAAAUGGUCAACUCUUUGGACACUCGUGAACAGGUGGUGCAUGGUUGUCGUCAGCUCGUGUCGUGAGAUGUUGGGUUAAGUCCCGCAACGAGCGCAACCCUCGUUCUAUGUUGCCAGCACGUAAUGGUGGGAACUCAUGGGAUACUGCCGGGGUCAACUCGGAGGAAGGUGGGGAUGACGUCAAAUCAUCAUGCCCCUUAUGUCUUGGGCUUCACGCAUGCUACAAUGGCCGGUACAAAGGGCUGCGAUACCGUAAGGUGGAGCGAAUCCCAAAAAGCCGGUCCCAGUUCGGAUUGAGGUCUGCAACUCGACCUCAUGAAGUCGGAGUCGCUAGUAAUCGCAGAUCAGCAACGCUGCGGUGAAUACGUUCCCGGGUCUUGUACACACCGCCCGUCA